This is a long non-coding RNA of Phyllostomus discolor (pale spear-nosed bat), 343 nucleotides long. RefSeq lists it as uncharacterized. The record is from RefSeq and is a predicted model, not a curated record. The transcript has 3 exons. NCBI's taxonomy places the organism in Eukaryota, Metazoa, Chordata, Mammalia, Chiroptera, Phyllostomidae.
AUUUAGAAUUUCAGUUUAUUGCUUAUCAAAAAAGGAAAUGAGGUGAAUUCCAUAGGAUUUAUUUCUGGUGAACUUAUGUUGAUUUUUAAUAAUGACUAGUGUUCAGCCAUUCAUAGGCUUGAUUAGAUUUUCUUUCUAUUACCAUAUGGAAAUAAUUGAAAAGGACCAAGAAAUCCUAAUAUACACAGGUUAUUGAUAUUACAGCGUAACAUGCAUUACUAGUUAAACCACAUCAUGAAUACAUCUAUAAAUUAUCAAAUCAUAUCAAAUGUCCUGCAUUCCAACUCCAAAGGUUGUAGAACAGUUCCACUGUGUUUUACAAACCAGGGGAGAAGUCAAGUCA